GGAUGUGUAGCUCAGUUGGUUAGAGUAUCUCCUUGACAUGGAGGGGGUCGUUGGUUCGAGUCCAAUCACAUCCACCA
RNAcentral lists this transfer RNA (77 nucleotides) under bacterium. RNAcentral's name for it is "tRNA-Val". It matches the Rfam family "tRNA". From Rfam's summary of the family: Transfer RNA (tRNA) molecules are approximately 80 nucleotides in length. Their secondary structure includes four short double-helical elements and three loops (D, anti-codon, and T loops). The record is from RNAcentral.